CUACAAAGGUAGUUUUUCAUUUGAAAGAUUUAUGCGUUUUUAAGUAUCUGUUGUCUUUUCUGCCUCUUUCGCCAAUUGGACCUCUCCAGUUUUUCCUUCAUAUGUUUGUAAUGACAUACUUUUGAUGGUAGUUCUAUAUUGGAUAUUUCAGUGUCUAUAUUUCUUUCCUACUUACGUCAAGAUGCUCCCAAAAUAGUUCAUAUAUACUCUUUCUACUUUCCCUUUACAUAUUAUUUUCGUGUCAUAUUUACGGUUAUUAUUUUAGUUUUACUAAUGUGUAUUUUCAUUUGAAUUAUUUAUUCCAUAAUUAAAGAUCCAUCAGAGGCGAGAGUUAUAUUAGAAGGCGACACAUAGAGCAAAGAAAGCAAAAGAAUUUAAUCAUAUUACCAUAUACCAAAAUACCGAAGGAGCAGUUGGGCCAGAUGAUAUCCCUGGGGAAGUCUAGAUAGCUUUAGAAGUGACAGGAACAAGUUGGCCAACAAGUUUGUUCAAUAGAUUUAUAGAAGUGGCACAAAUGCUAGACGAAUUGAGAAGCAUUAUAUUGCACAAACAACAGCACCAUAAAAUUACUUAGUCACACUAUGAAAAUAUGGGAGAGAAUAGUAGUUCAUAGACGUUAAGAAACAGUAAUAUCUGAAAAUCAGUUUGGAUUUAUGUAACGAAAAUAAGUUUAAAAAAAUACAGGAAUAAAGAAACAAGCACUCUACUAUUCAUUAUUCUUAAGAAAACGUAUGAGUAGCUCGAGAGGUUCUGUGGUGGGCGCUCAAUAAGAAAGGAGUUCCCUUCGAAUAUGUGCCGAUUGUAAGAGACAUGCAUGAGGGAAUAACAAUUAGUGUUAGGACAGGUGUGGGGGAGAAAAUUGAAUAGUUUUAGGUACCUAACAUCGGAAUUACAGUGUAAUGGAGAAAUAGAUAGAUAUGCAUGUAGUAGAGUUAUUGAUGAAGUGGACGGAAGCGAGUGGUGUGUUGUGUGACAAAAAGAUUCCAAUGAAACUGAAAGGAAAAUUCUGUAAAACUGCCAUAAGACCAGUUAUGAUGUACGGAACUGAAUGUUGGACAAUUAAAGAGAAAGAAGAACGCGAACACAUCUGGCGUUAAUGAGAAUGCUUAGAUGGAUGAGUAUAGUGAAAAAGAGAUAAAAUUAAAAGUGAUUAAGUGAUUAUAUUAGAGGAAGUUUAAGUCUAACGCUAAUCAUCUAAUACGAAGAAUAAUUGCAUAUUUGCAAGUUGCUGGAAGGUGUAGGAGAGGAAGACCAGGAGGGAGACACGUAUACAGUACAUGUCGGUAAAAUGGAUCGAUAUUGGUAUGAUCCAAGAUGAAAGCUUAUUGAGAAAUGUGAUUAGAGAAGUAGACCCCACAUAGGGAUAAACGCAAAGAAUUUUGUGUUUCGCAGUUUGUGCAUUUUCCUGCGAUUAGUAGGACGUGAUAUGCGUAAAGGUUCGGUCCUGGCAAGAAGCUAACAAACACGGUGUGAUAGCAGCUCAUGACAAAAGAUAGGUUUUAAUAAUAAAAUUAAAAAUGUAAAACUUGGAAACAUUUUAAUAGUGUAAACAUAAGUGCAGUGCAUCAGUGGACGAAAAGGCAUCAAAAACUGUAAGUUAUUUGCAUGCCUAUUUUACUAUAAAUUACUAAAAUUUAAAACUAGACAAAGCUUGGCCACAGUUUUUUUGCUUAUACGAAUCAGUUAGUUCACUCUAGUUUUUAUGCGGUUCCUGCGCUUGCAGAAACUCCUAGCAGACUGCGCAGUAGACUAGGAGGAAAAUGUUGCUGUUGCAAGAUUUAAAAUAUUCCGAUAAAGAAUAUUCCAAAAUUAUAAUAAAAUAAUUAUGAUUAUCGAUUUUUUUCAAAAAGCUAAAAACUAAAUUCAUAAAUGGUAAAAUCCUUUACGUACACACUUGUAUAAAAUUUGAAAAAUAAUAUUUUCUAAUUAUUGAUUGAAUGUAUUCAAACAAUUAAUCACAAGUAACUAUCUAAAUUGGUUACAUUUGGCAACAGUGAGUAGAUCUGGUUUAUUUAUGUAUGUUUAUUCCAAACAUAACCUUAUAAACAAACAGUUGUUUAUUUAGAGUUAUUUAUUAUUGUUUUCUCAUAUUUUGCAAUUGUUAAGUUGGUUUACUUCGAAUUUAAUGUGCAUUACUGUGGUAUUUCUCCAGUUUUCUAAGAAGGUUGGUGAUUUUGAAUUGGGAUUAUGAUGAAUUUAACCCAAAGGCAAUGUGUGUUUAUUUAUGUGGCAAAAUUCCAGGCACCAUAAAAAUUUGAGUUUCUUCCUGUUGCCCAUGGAUGAAAAUCGGUUUGCAGAAUGAAAAGAAAUUGUUCAAUGUGAUAAACUUUCUAUGAACAGUCCUCAAUAUUGUUACAUUAACUUUUAAAUAUGCACUUUACAUCUUGAGGAGCAGGCCUUUGCAGAAAUACUGAAAAGCGGGUUGCAAAACAACGCAAAAUAAAAUAAACGAAAUAUGUCUUGAGAUUAAACGUUCAAGUUGAAGGUGUGUUCUUUCUUAAACUGGAAUGAUAAUUUUGUAAUUCUGUAGGCACAUCUAUUGAGAAGUUACAACCAGUGGCAAAGUGCCUUAAGGGAAUCUAUGAUAUAUAUAAUUGAAGGGACAUCUCUGAAGGAAUUACAAUUAUUUGCCAGUAUGUCAAAUGAAUUUUCAACAUCAGUCAUACUUUCAUGAACUUAUUGAUGAAAAUAAAACUAGGUACAUGAUUUAUUAUUUACUUCCAAGGGAUUCUAAGAUACUAUGUGUAAAAAGUCCAAUAUGCAGUGAUGAGCAUGCUAAUAAAUGGAAAAAUAUGGGAUAUAACGCCAAAGAUGGGAAACAUGGGAUUCAUUCUGAAGUAAAAAGAGAUGAAACUGAGAGAAAUUAUCGAUAUAAACAUAUAAAUUAACAUUACAUUACAUAGUUUCCCACCUUUAGACGUAUCAGAUGAGUAUGAGAACUGUCACUGUGCCAGGAGAAUUUUAUAAAAUACUCCUGUCACAGAGAUCUAAAGGUGGGAAACUAUGUAAUGUUAUCGUCGGCUAAGAGUGUUAACCUGAUAACUCCAUUUUUCACUGCGAGUGAUAUUGGGGUAGUUUCUAGGUCCGUGUACCUUCAUACCAUGUCCCACAAGCCCGCUGGUUCCACUGUAGUUUAGAGAUAGCUAUUUCUAAACUACAUUGGUGUCGGCGGGUUUGUGGGGUGGUGUAUGAAAAUACACGGACCCAGAAACUAGCCCAAUAUCACUCAAAGUGAAAAAUGGAGUUAGCAGGUUAAAACUCUUAUCCAAGGUUAUGUUAAUUUAUUCGUUUAUAACGAUAAGUUCCACUUCUACCAGUUUCAUCUCUUUUUAUCUCACAAGUUGUUUUCCAUCUUUUGCGUUAUUUUGCCGGUUAUUAGUGUGAGUGCUCACUAUUUACGAUUCUGUGAUUUCUCAAUAUGAUGCUGAGUAGGUAUAGAUCUGAGUAGGUAUAUAGUAGGUAUCUACAACCCUUUCAAAACAGAAAAUAAGUUCAUUUUAUGUACCUAUUAAACUUUAUUUUAAGGAUGAAUUUGAAAUGCUUGUAGGGAAUAUAUCUGUAAAAAAUAAAAUUGGUAUUGUAAAAUUGAAAUUCUCAAAAUAUAAUUUAUAAUUCGAA
Molecule: long non-coding RNA, 3618 nt
Filed under: Diabrotica virgifera virgifera (western corn rootworm)
Lineage: Eukaryota; Metazoa; Arthropoda; Insecta; Coleoptera; Chrysomelidae
Description: uncharacterized LOC126881358
Source: RNAcentral